Chinchilla lanigera (long-tailed chinchilla) is the source of this 2406-nucleotide long non-coding RNA. RefSeq lists it as uncharacterized. The transcript has 3 exons. NCBI's taxonomy places the organism in Eukaryota, Metazoa, Chordata, Mammalia, Rodentia, Chinchillidae. The record is from RefSeq and is a predicted model, not a curated record.
UUUCCAUCAUAUAUAUCUAUCAUUUAUAUGACCGACAUAGCUAUAAAUGUUAUAUUGAUCAUUUAUAUGUCUAUCGUUUAUAUUUAUCAUCCACCACUUGUCUAUCAUUUGUCUGUCUACCAAUCAUCUAUCCAUCUGUCUAUCUCUAUUUAUCUAUCUAUGAAUGAUGGGAGAUUCAUUAGGGGAAUUGGGUCAUGUGAUUACAGAGGCCACAAAAUCCCAUGGGUGGCUAUCUGCAAACAGGACAACCCAGGGAGUGGGUGCUGUGCCUCAGUCCUAGUCACAGCAUGCUAUACCCCAGCCCGAGGCUGCCAGGCUGAGCACCUGGGGGGCACUGGUGCCGUGCAGGGGCCCAAAGGCUGGGGAACUGGGAGUGCUAAUGUCUGAGGAGGAGAAGGCUCAGCUCCUCAGGAGAGAGCAGCUUCACCUGUCCUCUGCACUUGUGUUCUGUCCAGCUCCAGCCCUCUCAUUCUGUCCACUGACUCAGAUGCCGUGUCUCACGGAAACCCUUUCUAGUAGCUGUCAGACAUCGAGUUUAGCAACGCCUGAAUUUCACCAUCGCGGGACCUGGUGGCACGUGGCGGCUCCAGGGUGGCGGCUGCUGUCGUGGGCCUAUUCUGCAGAAAGGUGGAUGUGCACAGCAGGAGGAGGAAAGGAACCUGGACUUGGCACCCUUGGAAGUCUCUGUCUUUGGGAUCCUCGCCUCUCUCCUCCCCGAGCUGUGGCGAUGUCUGGACGAGGUCCUGGUCACUUUUGAGCCCAGCUUUCUCCUCCCUCUUCCCCUUCCUGCCCGUUCCUCUCCUUCCCUGUCCACUCUGAGAUGCUGUCGUGGGGGUCGGAUGAAGGCUUUGCAUCACACAUGACACAGAGCGACCCACCCUCCUGACCGUCAAAGCCCACCCGUCCUCUGCUCCCACGGUGGUUUCUCGCGGUCAGCUCCCCAAUUCUCUCCCAGCCCCACUUCGCCGCAUCCUCUCAGUGCAGCACCCAGCUAUCUCCCUGCCCUCUUUGGGAACCUUGACUCCUCCCGGAAGUGUGCAUCUCUGUCACUUCCUGGAUGUUCCUGCCCUGCCAGGCCGUGCUACAGGGAAGACUCAGGAACUGAGCAGCCCUGCUCGGCCCGGCUUCCGGGCUUCCCCCAGGAAGGGGGAGACUGGAGCCUGGCCUUGGCUUGGGAGUCUUGCCUUACUCUUCUGUCCUCAGGACAGCCGGUGGCCUCCUCCCUCCCGCUGCUCUUCUGAGGGGAGGUCAAAGUGGACCAGUUCCCAGCGCCCGCACUCUGUAACCUGCCAUGGAAAAGAGUGUGUGGGCCCGGCAGGCGCGGGACAUUGAGGUCAGCAGGUCCGUCCCCGUGGCGACAGCCAGGCCAGCACGUUUCCCGUUUUAGCGGAGACUAAAUGAAAUGGAACGGUGUUGGUCUUCACUCGUUCAAUAUAUCUUCACUUCCUCAGCGCCAAGGUCAUUUUUACCUUCACGGAAAGGAAGGCAAAAUAUAAAAUACCCAUUUAAACAGAAAUGCAUUUGCAGGUUUUUGAGAGCCAGGUAGAUGACUGAUAUAUUAUGUAAUUCAUUUCAUGGCCCAGCUGAAUGUGUUUUACAGAUAGCGUUUAACCUUGCCAAUUCUGCUCUGAGAUAAUCCCCCUUCUGAGGAUAAAAUCAUAUAUUUAACAUAAAAGGAGAAGCCGGAGAGGAAAGCCGCGUAGUGCGUCCCGAGCAACAGAGAACCGGGAGUUGCCCACACAGAGGGGUGAUCAGAGGAGCUCACUGCUGCUUUGCCUGAUUAACUAGUCUCACACUGACACCAGCCAGAGAUGAGGUGACAGCCAUGGAGGGAGGCAGUGUGCGCUGAGGGGCGAAACACACCUGGCUCCUGUGGCCGGUCGGCACACCAGCAGCGGUGUGGACUGCCGAGACAGGCCCUCUGCGGAUCUUACUCUGUCCUGCGUGGCUCCUGGGACCUGGCACAAUGGAACCCCCGAGCCUCAGGGUCCUUGUCUGGUCCCCGCCUUGGAGGGCUCUCAUCCGUGACAAGCCAAGCCACGGGUGGAGAGCUGAGAGCUGAGACCGUUGUAUCUCCCAGCCUGGCAGAUGCUGUCACCCCACAGAAUGUCCCUCCAGGAACCGUGGCCUGCGGAAGCUGAGAUCCUUCCGUGGGUGAUUUUGUGGGCAUAGUGUUCAUUGUCAUUUGCUAUCAGCCACCCCAACCCUCAUCCUGUCCCUCUGCCAACUCCCUCUUCCCCUCCACCUCCAGCAUGGCCACCCCUCGGCAGCUAUUUCAUCCACAGACGGGAAAUACCAGGAUCCUUAUCCCUGGCCAGGGACAUAUGAACGUCCAGCGAGGAGGUGGGGUUGUCAUAGCUUGUGUCUAGAUGUCUCCCCGAAGCCUCAUGCAGUCAUAGGUGGGGG